UACGUAGGGUGCGAGCGUUAAUCGGAAUUACUGGGCGUAAAGCGUGCGCAGGCGGUUUUGUAAGCCAGAUGUUAAAGCCCCGGGCUCAACCUGGGAAUGGCAUUUGGGACUGCAAGGCUGGAGUUUGGCAGAGGAGACUGGAAUUCCCGGUGUAGCAGUGAAAUGUGUAGAUAUCGGGAGGAAUACCGAUGGCGAAGGCAGGUCUCUGGGCUAUAACUGACGCUCAUGCACGAAAGCGUGGGGAGCAAACAGG
RNAcentral lists this ribosomal RNA (253 nucleotides) under uncultured bacterium. RNAcentral's name for it is "partial 16S ribosomal RNA". It matches the Rfam family "Bacterial small subunit ribosomal RNA", at positions 524 to 776 of the family's 1533-position model. The record is from RNAcentral.